AGAGGACCCUGGGAGAUCGACCGAUGGCUGUGGGAUGUCAAAGAUGCUUUCUGUGAUGCGGAGGACUUACUCGAAGAAUGGAACCUGGAAGUUAUGCAAUUACGAGAAUGGCCGAGCAAAGAUGAGAAGUUGAACCAGGUAAUUUCCUCCUCCUCUUCGCCUUCUGAAAAACCUGAUUUAAGUCUGGAGAUGAGCGCCCGUGCGAAGAAAAUCAGGGAGAGAAUAGAAGCCAUCGCUGCCGAAGGGAGGGAUUUGGGCUUGCGAGAGUGCGCGGAGGAUGUGCGUGUAGAGAGAAGAGAGCGGUUGGACUCCUUUGUGUACGAUGAUGAUAUUAUAGGGAGAGAGGAUGAUAAAAGCGCAAUUAUGAACUUCUUGUUAGACUCUGACACUGAUGAACGAAUUUCUUUCUUUAUAAUAGGGGGUCAGAGUGGGAUUGGAAAGCCGGCUCUUGAUCGCUGUCUAUACGAAGAUGACAAGGUCAAGAAGCAUUUCGAUGUAAGGAUAUGGGUCUGUAUGUGUUACAAACACUUAGAUUAUCUCGAAAGCGAAGUAUGAAAAAUCAGAGGAAGAGAGACAACAGAGAGAGUAGAUGACAUGGAGCAACUGUGAAAAUAUCUCCUAGUUAUUGAACAUCUGUGGUAUUUGGCUCCUGAACAAUGGGGGAGCUUGAGAAGUUUAUUGAUGGGAGGUGCCCAAGGAAGCAAGAUUCUGAUAACUACACACAGUUUUUCAGCUGCGGACUUUCCGAGCACAACCCCAUUUUAUUGUCUCGAGGCCCUUCCAACAGAGUCAUCUUUUGAUUUAUUGAUGAGAAUGGCUUGUCAGGAAGAAGAAGAGACUAGAAAUCCAAUUAAGGUAGAUAUUGGUAGGCGGAUAGUCAAAAUGUGUGAUGGAAUCCCUUUGGCAAUACGAAUGAUUGGAAGUCUAUUAUUCUUCAAGAAAACUGAAGCUGAGUGGUUACAUUUUGAGGACGAGAUCUCAGAACUUUCUGCAGAUUUACUUCAGCUCAGUUAUAAUCAUCUCCCAUGCCAUCUAAAACAGUUUUUUGCCUUCUGUUCAUUGUUUCCCAAAGACUGGGUGAUUGAUAAACAAAUGUUGACCAAGUCUCUGGAUGGCAGAAGGAUUUAUCCUGUCCAUAGACAAUGGAGAUUGGGACAUGGAAGAUAUUGCUCAUGACUAUUUCAUGGAUCUACUUGGGAGGAAUUUCUUUCAAGACUGUUAAAGAUGAACUUGGAAAUAUGAAGUCUUGUAGGAUGCAUCAUUUAGUAAAUGACCUAGCACACCAUGUUGCUGGAACUGAGUAUGGAAGAAUUUAUCAUUUGCAGUCACACCUUGAAGAAAGAACUCAUCAUUUGUCAUGGUAUUCAACUUUACAUUUAUCAGAGGGAGAUCCAUAUAUACACGGAGCAUAUUAUCUGAGGACACUCAUCAAAACUAGUCAAAGAAAAAGAUCAAGGUGUGAAACUCAAAUGGGUGAAGAAACUCUUCGCAAAUUUAUUUCUAGUUUCAAGUUCUUACGUGCCUUGGAUCUGCAUGACAGCGGUAUAGAGAAGUUGCCAAGUUCCAUAUGUGAGUUGAAGCACCUGACAUUUCUAGAUUUCUCUGAAAAUGAAGGAAUCGUAAGGCUUCCUGAUUCUUUGACAAAAAUGAAAACCUUGCAAGUACUUAAACUCAAUAUGUGUUACAAGCUAAUAGAAUUGCCUAGGGAUAUAAGAAAAUUGGUCAACCUCAGGCACCUGGAGAUUAGCAACUGUAAUGCCCUAUCAUAUGAGGGAUGGGUGAGUUGACUCUUUUGCACAUUCUAACAGAUUUCAUUUUGCCUGGGGAUGAUUCCUGCCGAGAGAGUUACGGCGGGCUACGGGAGUUGAACAGGUUAAACAGUUUGAGAGGAAGCCUCAGAAUUGAAGUAAAGGGAAAAAUAAAAGAUGCAGUAGCAGAAUCAAAUGGCUCGAACUUGAAGGAGAAGAAUUCCUUAGUUUCACUAGUAUUAGUAUUUGUCGGAAAAGAACGUGAUGAAGUUCUACUCAAAGAGCUGCAGCCAAGCUUAAAUCUUCAAAGCUUAGAACCAAGAGGCUAUGGGGGCGCAAUGUUUCCAAGCUGGAUGUCUCGCAUGCCUAAGUUAGUUCAGCUACGGUUGUUUGAUUGUGCACGAUGCAAAAGUCUCCCAUCACUUGGUGAGCUCAACAGCCUCAAGCAUUCGGACAUUAGUGAGCUAUCCAUAACAGAGUACACAGAAAGUGAUAUUCAUACCCUCUCAUCACCUCCUGAUCUGUCUGCGUUAAGGAUAUGGGAGUGUCCUAAUUGGAACGGAUUCCACAACUUGUACAGCUCACGGAGUUGGGACCUCCUAGUUUGCCUGUGGAGGCCCUUGUAGACUUUUAGUUGCCCACUACUGAACAUAUAAUUGGUAUUGAUGAUCGAGUGAAGGAUGUAAUCCGAGAAGCAGGAUCAUCCUCACAACCAGAAGAAAAGAUGUUUACCAGAUUCAAAGAAAUGAGGACCAAGUCAUUUCAUAUGAGCAUGACCAUGAGAUUUUACCGAUGAAUGAAAAUCAUGCUCUCGAACUUUUCCGGAAAUCUUCCUUUUGCUAUUGAUAUUGUGGGAAGAUAUUUGAAUGGGAAGAACGAAAAUAUAUGGAGACAGGCUUUGGAUGACUUAAAAGGAGAGCUGCAAGAGAAAGUGGAACGAAUGUUGGAGGCAUGCUAUAAACUUUUGGGCAAAAAGGCCAGAGAAAUUUUCCUUGAUGUAGCGUGUUUCUUUACAGGGGUUGAAAAGACAAUGCCCUUUUACAUGUGGACUGCUCGUAAACUUGGCCUUGAUAUACGAGUUGAUGAGCUUCAGAACAUGUCCUUUCUAAAAACUGGAGAAAAAAAAAGAGUUUUUGAUGCAUGGCCAACUAAAAUUUCUGGGAAGAGAAAUUGUCAAGAAGGAAGACGAAGACCCCUGGCAGCGGAGCAGGGUGUGGAAUUACGAAGAUGUCCAAACAACAUUGUGCAAAAAGAAGGUAAAAUUACGCUGAGAUUUCUCCAGUAUUCUUGUCAAGUUUUCGUCUUAUCAUUUUACUAUUUCAUUGCAUAAUUAUUUGUUUGAAUUUCAUGCUUCCAUUUCGUUAAUGAAUUGGCCGGGUGCCAACAAGGUUAAAGCUCUUCGUGUAACCCGUGAUUUUAUUCAAGUUGAUGGCGAAGUAUAAUUUGAGGUUUCUUAAAUUGGACAAUGUUGAUAUUGAUGGAAAUCCUGAGAAUCUUCUUCCAAACCUAGUAUGGCUUGAUUGGCAUGGAUGCCAUGAUAAAUAUAAGUUGUUUGAGUUCAAAUAGAAUCCAUUAUCAUAAAUACAAGGGGAUUUCUAGAGACGUUGGAAGCUGAUUCACCUUAGGAAUUUCUUCCAAAGUCAGCCUUACUUGCUCACACUCACAAGAAUGGUAAAGAGAAAAACUCUAGAGAGAAGUGAGAUGGAUAUAAAUGAGGGGGGAGUCCCUAUAUAUAUAAGUACAAGCUCAAAUGUGGUCAUAAAUCUCUCCUCAAUCCCACGGUAGAGAUCACAUCUUCUACCUGCAUUUAUUAAAAGAGUGUUCUCGAGUAUUCUAAAAUACUCGAGAAAACUUUAGGAUUCGAGAGAUAGUCAAGGGUUGCUCGUUCAUGUCAUACAAAACCUUUUGGGUCGCAUCCCUUCCUUGGGUUGUGACAAUAGCAUGUGCUCUUUUGUUUAUGUUGUGGAUGGUUAUAAUGUUACUUUUUAAUAAGAUGAGUCGAAUAUGAGUUAGUUAACUUUUAAUAAAAUGAGUUAUUAAUGGGUUUGGGUUGUUUGUAAAUGUAAUGAUAAAUUGAUUGUAAAUGGGUUUGUCUUUAAACCCAUUUAAAACGCAUUUAACUUAUAAAGAUUAUUAGUUAAGUCAAUCCAUUAAGGAUAUAUAUUCUCUUUAAAUAUUAUUUUAUCAUUUUUAUUUAUUUUUAUUUUCGAUUUUCUAAUAUUAUUUUCUUUUAUUUUCUUUUUAUUUUCUUUCUUUAUUUUUCUUCUUUCCCAACGAAGUCCAACAGUUGACCCUCAUCGGAUGCCAAAAGAGGACUGUAGGGCGAGGUUCGCAAUUGUUGCCCAAUUACACUGGCAAGCCCGAGCUCACCAAAUCUAGGGAGUUGAGCACACCGGCCUCAUUGAUCUAGUGAGACUUGAGCUCGCCAAAGUCAAAGAGAGCUUGACUUUGCUGGAAUCAAGCGAGACCAAGGCUCAAGCCUUGCCGAUCUAGCGAGACUUAAGCUCACUAGUGUCAAGGCAAGCUCAACCUUGUUGGAUUUGGCAAGGUCGAGCCUCACCUAAGGCAAGCAAGGCCGAGGCUCAAGCCUUGCCAAUCUAGCGAGACUUGAGCUCACCGACAUCGAGGCGAGCUAGACCUCGCUAGAUUCAACAAGGCUCGACUCGCUGAAAUCAAACAAGCUCAAGCCUUGUCGGCCUGUGGCGAGGCUAGAGCUUGCCGUCAUCAGCCAUGAUGUCCAUGGUCGGCAAUCGGUUGAAGAAGAGAAAAAAGAAAAAAGAAUUAAAAAUUCUAUUUAUUGGAAAAAGAAGUUAAAAUAAAAAUACUUAAAAGGAGUGCACAAAAAAUCAAAUCUAAUUUCCUAUAUGAAGCAAAAAGUAUUUUUUAAUUUAUUUUCAAGUUUCAACCAAACACUGUAAAAUAUUAUCAUUUUUAAAAAUACCACAUUUUUUGUGAAAUAAAUGAAAGCCUUAAUUUUUUUAAGAAAAUUAUAUUAUGAAUUCAUAAUUUUGUAAUUAUAUGAGAGUGUGUUGACACCUAAAUUUUGGCGAUCUAUUUAAUCAUUUAGUCAUUAAAAAUUAGGGUUUAAUUUUAUCAAAAAAAAUAUUAAUUACAUAGCAUAUAGAUUUAUGUGCAUUUUAUUUUAAUUGACAUUUUAUUUAUUGGACUGGUGCGGAUGGGUUCAAAUUGAUCGGACUAAGCCCAUAAAGACUACAAGUUAGCUCGAGCCAAUUUUCUGAAAUUGAGAUUUGAAAUAAUGAUUUUUGGAAUUUAAGAAAAUCGGGUUGUGAUCUUAUCUUUAAAAAUCAGUAGAAAAUAUUUAGGAGAUAAGGAGAAUAGUAUGAGAUAAAAGGAUUUUGUGAUUCGGAGGUUAUAGGCAAUUUUCGAAAUAUUCUAAGAAGAUCGCAUUAUGUUUGUCUAUAAAAGGAGACAUUGUACGGCAGAGAAAAAAGGAGACACCGCCGGGCGACCCGGAGCCUCACGCCGCACCACUGUGCCCACACCGUCGCCACUCUGCUGUGGCCCUCCCUCGACGAGUCUUCACCAUUGUUCCGCCAGUCUGGCCACGACAUCCGGCCCCGCCGUCGACGCACGCAGCUGCUCCCUUGCCGGUCCGUCUCCCUUGCGCGACCCACUGCCGAGAUCUGCCGUCUUGCCCCACCGGACUUCCGUCUGCGAACACCCUAGCAGACGACCCGACGACCGCUCCAGCAACGCCGCGACGACCUACUGCUCUGCCGUGCUGCGACCCGGAGUCUUCUACCCGAGCCGACUGACCCACUGUAGCCCUCUGACGCCGCAACAGCCACGGGUUUCCUCUGUUGCGCUUCCACCCUCCGAUCGGUCGCAUCAGCCUCGCCCGAAGCCCAUCGCCACUCUCCUGCCCGUCCGGACCCGAGCCUCCCUAGCUCCGCUCCUGUGCUGCAGCCGCCCUUGCCGGAUCCCCUUUGCCGGACUGAUCAGCCGGCUCCCCUCGGAGAUUCACGGCUGUGUGCGGAAAGGAAGAGAAAACAGAAAAAGAGAAAGAAAAAUCAGAUUAGGUAGUUUUUAUUUUAUUUUAUUUUAUUUUAUUUUAUUAUUAUUUCUUUAAUAUUCUGUUUUGGUGGAAUUGUUCCUUAAUAUAUGACUGAUAUCCCAAUAUGAAAUAAUUACCAAAUCAGCCGAAAACACUUUCCUAUUAAAGAAAGUAUUCGUGCAUAAUUUUAGGAAAGUGAAUCCAGAAAUACUUAUCUCGAAUUUUUUUAAUAUUAAAUUAUUUGCUUUUCUUUUAUUUUCUUCUUUACUUUUCCUUUCUUUUUUUUGAACAGUACUUUUCCUUUCUUGGCCCGUCACCUUUUUCUUCUCCCUCCUCUGCUGAUCACCGACCUUAGGCCGAUCACCGAGAUCUAGUGCACUUCACCCCCGAAGAGCCAUGGCGGAAGCACUCAUCUUGAGAGUAGCUAAACUUCUGGAUGAUUUCCCAGAAGGUGCAAAAUUAUGGGGCGCUGGCGGCGAAUUUUCCGAGUUCAAGAAAACCGCUUCCUUUCUCCGAAGUAUACUGCCCGAUGCGGAAAAGCGGAGAUUCAAAGAACACAGGGAAAUCGACCGAUGGCUGAGGAAUCUCAAAGAUGCUUUCUAUGAUGCGGAGGACUUACUCGAAGAAUGGAACAUUGACGUCAUGCCAUUACGAGAAUCGCCGAGCAAAGAUGAGAAGUUGAAGCAGGUAAUUCCCUCCUCCUCUUCGCCUUCUGCAAAACCUGAUUUAAGGCUGGAGAUGAGCGCCCGUGCGAAGACAAUCAGGG
RNAcentral lists this long non-coding RNA (6529 nucleotides) under Eucalyptus grandis. RNAcentral's name for it is "long non-coding RNA (EGRA_LNC003149)". The record is from RNAcentral. Lineage: Eukaryota; Viridiplantae; Streptophyta; Magnoliopsida; Myrtales; Myrtaceae.